RNAcentral lists this ribosomal RNA (253 nucleotides) under uncultured bacterium. Its description in RNAcentral is "partial 16S ribosomal RNA". It matches the Rfam family "Bacterial small subunit ribosomal RNA", at positions 524 to 776 of the family's 1533-position model. The record is from RNAcentral.
UACGGGGGGGGCAAGCGUUGUUCGGAAUUACUGGGCGUAAAGGGCUCGUAGGCGGCCAACUAAGUCAGACGUGAAAUCCCUCGGCUUAACCGGGGAACUGCGUCUGAUACUGGAUGGCUUGAGUUCGGGAGAGGGAUGCGGAAUUCCGCGUGUAGCAGUGAAAUGCGUAGAUAUGCGGAGGAACACCGAUGGCGAAGGCAAUCCCCUGGGCCUGCACUGACGCUCAUGCACGAAAGCGUGGGGAGCAAACAGG